UGGCGGAAGGGUGAGGAACACGUGAGUAACCUGCCCUUAAGUCAGGGAUAACUCGCCGAAAGGUGGGCUAAUACCAAAUGUGAUCUCCUUACGCAUGUGAGGAUGAUUAAAGACGGGGAUCUUUCGGGACCUGUCGCUUAAGGAGGGGCCCGCGUCCCAUCAGCUAGUUGGUGAGGUAACGGCUCACCAAGGCUUUUACGGGUAGCUGGUCUGAGAGGAUGGUCAGCCACACUGGGACUGAGACACUGCCCAGACUCCUACGGGAGGCUGCAGUCGAGGAUCUUUUGCAAUGCACGAAAGUGUGACAAAGCGACGCUGCGUGGAGGAUGAAGGCCUUCGGGUCGUAAACUCCUGUCAUCCGGGAACAAUGAGUCUGUCGUUAAUACCGGCAGAAAGUGAUGGUACCGGAAGAGGAAGCCACGGCUAACUCUGUGCCAGCAGCCGCGGUAAUACAGAGGUGGCGAGCGUUGUUCGGAUUUACUGGGCGUAAAGGGUGCGUAGGCGGUUCUGUGUGUCGGUUGUGAAAUCCCACUGCUCAAUGGUGGAACUGCAAUCGAAACUACGGAACUUGAGUGCAUGAGGGGAGAGCGGAAUUCUUGGUGUAGCGGUGAAAUGCGUUGAUAUCAAGAAGAACACCGGUGGCGAAGGCGGCUCUCUGGAAUGUUACUGACGCUGAGGCACGAAAGCUGGGGGAGCAAACAGGAUUAGAUACCCUGGUAGUCCCAGCUGUAAACGGUGUGCAUUUGGUGUGGGGGGGAAUUGACCCCCUCUGUGCCGGAGCUAACGCGUUAAAUGCACCGCCUGGGGAGUACGACCGCAAGGUUAAAACUCAAGAAAUUGACGGGGGCCCGCACAGCGGAGGAGCAUGUGGCUUAUUCG
This 879-nucleotide ribosomal RNA is filed under the name uncultured bacterium. RNAcentral's name for it is "bacterial SSU rRNA". It matches the Rfam family "Bacterial small subunit ribosomal RNA", at positions 96 to 953 of the family's 1533-position model. The record is from RNAcentral.